GCAGCCGUAGCUCAGCUGGAUAGAGCAUCCGCCUUCUAAGCGGACGGUCCCUGGUUCGAAUCCAGGCGGCUGUGCCA
Molecule: transfer RNA, 77 nt
Filed under: Sulfitobacter sp.
Lineage: Bacteria; Pseudomonadati; Pseudomonadota; Alphaproteobacteria; Rhodobacterales; Roseobacteraceae
Also listed under: 2 other names
Description: tRNA-Arg
Rfam family: tRNA
About the family: Transfer RNA (tRNA) molecules are approximately 80 nucleotides in length. Their secondary structure includes four short double-helical elements and three loops (D, anti-codon, and T loops). Further hydrogen bonds mediate the characteristic L-shaped molecular structure. tRNAs have two regions of fundamental functional importance: the anti-codon, which is responsible for specific mRNA codon recognition, and the 3' end, to which the tRNAs corresponding amino acid is attached (by aminoacyl-tRNA synthetases). tRNAs cope with the degeneracy of the genetic code in two manners: having more than one tRNA (with a specific anti-codon) for a particular amino acid; and 'wobble' base-pairing, i.e. permitting non-standard base-pairing at the 3rd anti-codon position.
Source: RNAcentral